RNAcentral lists this long non-coding RNA (208 nucleotides) under Capsicum annuum. RNAcentral describes it as "long non-coding RNA (CANN_LNC021884)". The record is from RNAcentral. Lineage: Eukaryota; Viridiplantae; Streptophyta; Magnoliopsida; Solanales; Solanaceae.
GCUUAACUAAGAGAAACAAGGAUACCUAUGAAAGUUGAUUAUUAAUUUUAGCUCAACCCAUAUUACCCUCUCCAUGUUGAAUCACUCUAAGCCCAACUGUGUAUAUUAAUGAAGAUCAACAAUAUGAAACAAGGGAAUCAAGAUAUGGCAUAAAAUUAGCAACCAUAACCAUGCCUAUAUAUAAAUUACACAUCCCAAAUAAGUAGGC